CGGCACGGGUGAGUAACGCGUAUCCAACCUGCCGUCUACUCUUGGCCAGCCUUCUGAAAGGAAGAUUAAUCCAGGAUGGCAUCAUGAGUUCACAUGUCCGCAUGAUUAAAGGUAUUUUCCGGUAGACGAUGGGGAUGCGUUCCAUUAGAUAGUAGGCGGGGUAACGGCCCACCUAGUCAACGAUGGAUAGGGGUUCUGAGAGGAAGGUCCCCCACAUUGGAACUGAGACACGGUCCAA
This 238-nucleotide ribosomal RNA is filed under the name uncultured bacterium. RNAcentral's name for it is "partial 16S ribosomal RNA". It matches the Rfam family "Bacterial small subunit ribosomal RNA", at positions 100 to 334 of the family's 1533-position model. The record is from RNAcentral.